This 301-nucleotide ribosomal RNA is filed under the name uncultured bacterium. RNAcentral describes it as "partial 16S ribosomal RNA". It matches the Rfam family "Bacterial small subunit ribosomal RNA", at positions 509 to 807 of the family's 1533-position model. The record is from RNAcentral.
CAGCAGCCGCGGUAACACGUAGGGCGCAAGCGUUGUCCGGAAUUAUUGGGCGUAAAGAGCUCGUAGGCGGUCUGUCGCGUCUGGUGUGAAAUCCCGAGGCUCAACCUCGGGCUUGCAUCGGGUACGGGCAGACUAGAGUGCGGUAGGGGAGACUGGAAUUCCUGGUGUAGCGGUGGAAUGCGCAGAUAUCAGGAGGAACACCGAUGGCGAAGGCAGGUCUCUGGGCCGCAACUGACGCUGAGGAGCGAAAGCAUGGGGAGCGAACAGGAUUAGAUACCCGAGUAGUCCCUGUCUCUUAUAC